Molecule: ribosomal RNA, 305 nt
Filed under: uncultured bacterium
Lineage: Bacteria
Description: bacterial SSU rRNA
Rfam family: Bacterial small subunit ribosomal RNA
Source: RNAcentral
UUUUCCUACGGGACGCAGCAGUGGGGAAUAUUGCACAAUGGGGGAAACCCUGAUGCAGCGACGCCGCGUGAGUGAAGAAGUAUCUCGGUACGUAAAGCUCUAUCAGCAGGGAAGAAAAAAAGUCUUUGGCUUUGGACGGUACCCGACUAAGAAGCCCCGGCUAACUACGUGCCAGCAGCCGCGGUAAUACGUAGGGGGCAAGCGUUAUCCGGAUUUACUGGGUGUAAAGGGAGCGUAGACGGCAGCGCAAGUCUGGAGUGAACUGCCGGGGCUCAACCCCGGAACUGCUUUUGAAACGGUGCAGG